This 286-nucleotide long non-coding RNA is filed under the name Calidris pugnax (ruff). Its description in RNAcentral is "lncRNA (ENSCPUG00000018057.1)". Lineage: Eukaryota; Metazoa; Chordata; Aves; Charadriiformes; Scolopacidae. The record is from RNAcentral.
CCCAUGGCUCUGAGCACCAAAGGGAUGCUGCUCCUCAGAAGGUCCCCAAAGUGCUGGUGUGUCACCCAGGGCUCCAGAGAGCUCAGCAGCCCCCCCAAAAAACCAUCUUUGACCCUUGGAAAUGGGGAUGGACGUGGUGGGCAGGGAUGCUGGGGCUCUCUGCUCCUCUCCCAGUGGGAAUUGGGGACCUUGGAGGAGCAGAUGGGGUUGUCCCCUCUCCCUGGCACGUCAAAACCCCUUUAUUUUCCAGUUGUUGCCCCUUGAGCUCCGUCCCCCCCAAAAAAAA